UACGUAGGGUGCAAGCGUUGUCCGGAAUUAUUGGGCGUAAAGAGCUCGUAGGCGGUCUGUCGCGUCUGGUGUGAAAAUCCAGGGCUUAACCCUGGACCUGCAUCGGGUACGGGCAGACUAGAGUGCGGUAGGGGAGAUCGGAAUUCCUGGUGUAGCGGUGAAAUGCGCAGAUAUCAGGAGGAACACCGGUGGCGAAGGCGGUUCUCUGGGCCUUACCUGACGCUGAGGAGCGAAAGCGUGGGGAGCAAACAGG
Molecule: ribosomal RNA, 253 nt
Filed under: uncultured bacterium
Lineage: Bacteria
Description: partial 16S ribosomal RNA
Rfam family: Bacterial small subunit ribosomal RNA
Source: RNAcentral